GGGACCUGGUCCGGGCUGAGGUCCUGGCGGGUGAGCAGGAUCUUCGCCGUGCGGCGCGGAGGGUGACAGUGGAGAAGGUGACCAGAAGCCAGAAGGAGCCUAUGUGAAAGCACGCAAUGAAUACUUACAGCAUCCACAUGUCUGCUUCCACCAGGACCCAGGACUUCUCCAUGAAGACUUUCUAGACUUGUCUAUUCAAAGCCAACAGUGAACUUCUCCUGAAAAAGGGUUAUAUCAAUUUUAACUUUGUAUCCAAAGCAUGAGAACAAUGUGCUCCUGGAACAUAGUUUCUUCUGAGAUUUGUUGAUGAAUAAAGGAAAAGAAAUAACUGGAUAGGAAAGCUGUUCAUUUGUUUACCUUGUCAUCUUAACAGUCUGUUCAAAUAAUUUUGCCCAAUAUUUUUCAUUAUAUAACAACUAACCCUUAAGGACGUCUCCCAAGCCCAAACUAUCUCAAAAUAAUUAAAAUCGGCAAUUGAAUUUAGGGAUGAGCUUAGUGUAGAAAUAGCCCCAGUAGUUGUUUCUAUUUCCUUGAACUCCACAAUGAGCUGUUUCAUGCUUCUUCACAUUUGAGAUAAUACUUCAAAUUUAUACCCACAAUGAAAUAAAGGCUUAAAAAUAAUCUGAUAUGACUUUUGAACCAUAAAAUUACUAG
Molecule: long non-coding RNA, 654 nt
Organism: Equus quagga
Lineage: Eukaryota; Metazoa; Chordata; Mammalia; Perissodactyla; Equidae
Exons: 4
Source: RefSeq, a predicted model, not a curated record